Molecule: long non-coding RNA, 566 nt
Filed under: Salmo salar (Atlantic salmon)
Lineage: Eukaryota; Metazoa; Chordata; Actinopteri; Salmoniformes; Salmonidae
Description: lncRNA (ENSSSAG00000102107.1)
Source: RNAcentral
CUUUAAUGGUCUGUACUGGUCUGUACUGGUCCUUUAAUGGUCUGUUCUGGUCUUUCUUUUCCAUGAUUUACUACUUAAUGACUUCGUCCACAAAAUAGUGCACUAUGUAGGGAAUAGGGUGCCAUUUGAGACUCGGCCAAUGUCUUCAGGACGUUGUCUUCAGGACGUUGUCUUCAGGACGUUGUCUUCAGGACGUUGUCUUCUUCAGGACGUUGUCUUCAGGACGUUGUCUUCAGGACGACGUUGUCUUCAGGACGUUGUCUUCUUCAGGACGUUGUCUUCAGGACGACGUUGUCUUCAGGACGUUGUCUUCUUCAGGACGUUGUCUUCUUCAGGACGAUGUCUUCAGGACGUUGUCUUCAGGACGUUGUCUUCAGGACGUUGUCUUCUUCAGGACGAUGUCUUCAGGACGAUGUCUUCAGGACGAUGUCUUCUUCAGGACGUUGUCUUCUUCAGGACGUUGUCUUCUUCAGGACGUUGUCUUCUUCAGGACGUUGUCUUCUUCAGGACGUUGUCUUCAGGAUGUUGUCUUCUUCAGGACGAUGUCUUCAGGACGUUGUCUUCAG